This 1591-nucleotide long non-coding RNA is filed under the name Nasonia vitripennis (jewel wasp). Its description in RNAcentral is "uncharacterized LOC116416545". Lineage: Eukaryota; Metazoa; Arthropoda; Insecta; Hymenoptera; Pteromalidae. The record is from RNAcentral.
AAUUAGUUAGAACGCAUAACUAAGCAUCUACAUCAUAAAUAAUUAAUAAAUUUUGUUAUAUAGUAUAAAAAAAAUUUUAUGUAAGAAAAAAAAAUCUGCCGGGUGUAGGGCUGGAACUCACGAUCUUUGGAUCAGAAGUCCGAAGCUCUAGCCUCUGAGCCACAACUCUUCUUACAAUUUGAUGCACAAUUGCACCUAAUAAUCAUCGCUAAUAAUUAGAAUUAUGUAAUAAAAUAAUGUUUAAAUGUAAUUCGGUUUGGAGAGAAUAAAAAAAGUAAUAAAUGUAUGCUCUUUACUAAUUAAAGUCCAUAAUUAUUAAUAAUGCAACAUUCUGAGCACGCGGCACGCGUGCUGUCGCUGUGCAGUCUCUGUGCCGUCGCGUACAGACGCCCUAGGACGCAUGUCGAGACAGCAACUGGACGGCACAGUGACAGCACGACGUGCGGCACGUCAAGAGGAUGUGUUACAUUAAUCAAAUUUUAAUUGUGAAAAUAGUAAUUUUCAAACUGAUGUACGUUUGAGCAAUCAUCUAUCAUAGGGUACAACUCGUAAUUAAAUCAUUUUGAUAGUACACAGCGCCCUGAAGCUGUUUUUUCCAUAGACAAUUAUCGGUCUCGGGACUUAGCCGAAUUUUAAAAGAUGCGCACGCGUGUCGUCCAAAUGCCCCGUAUAUGAUGCACCUGUGCCGCACGCAUGCAGCACGCAUGCCAGCACCUAGCUUCUUCAAGUGUCUGCACGCGUGCUCCUGGAAUGCCAUCGAAAAGCGGGCACGAGUGCCGAAAUCAUGCAGCACGCGCGUGCCGCCAACGUGCUGUCUCGCGUGUUGGUUCAAAUUUUCGCGCGGAGCACGGUAAUCCAUCAAAAUGACAGCACUGUGCGAGCACGCGUGUCGAGGCACGCAUGCUCACGAAUUGCUCAACGCAUGCAGCGCGCGGUGCUGUCAUAAUGCUGGCACAUUGCCGGCAUGCAAACGUUCGAAAAAUCGGCCAUGGAUCGGCAUUUUGUGUCGCCAAUGUGCCAACAUUUCGUGUCGUCAUAUUGACAGCACUCGUGCUGAGCACGCGUGCUCGCACUAUGCCGCCAACGUGCCGUCCAGCGUGGCGGGAAAAAAAUUUUAAAGAUUUUUGUCCACGCAUGUCGGCACAUUGCCUGCACAUCGACAGCACGCGUGACGAGCACGCAUGCCCCAAAAAUGCCCAGCACGUGAUGUUAUUGGGGAUGUCCCGAGACCGAUAAUUGUCUAUGGAAAAAACAGCUUCAGGGCGCUGUGUACUAUCAAAAUGAUUUAAUUACGAGUUGUACCCUAUGAUAGAUGAUUGCUCAAACGUACAUCAGUUUGAAAAUUACUAUUUUCACAAUUAAAAUUUGAUUAAUGUAACACAUCCUCUUGACGUGCCGCACGUCGUGCUGUCACUGUGCCGUCCAGUUGCUGUCUCGACAUGCGUCCUAGGGCGUCUGUACGCGACGGCACAGAGACUGCACAGCGACAGCACGCGUGCCGCGUGCUCAGAAUGUUGCAUUAUUAAUAAUUAUGGACUUUAAUUAGUAAAGAGCAUACAUUUAUUACUUUUUUUAUUCUCUCCAAACCGAA